Molecule: ribosomal RNA, 381 nt
Filed under: uncultured bacterium
Lineage: Bacteria
Description: bacterial SSU rRNA
Rfam family: Bacterial small subunit ribosomal RNA
Source: RNAcentral
GACGAACGCUGGCGGCGUGCUUAACACAUGCAAGUCGAGCGGUAAGGCCCUUUCGGGGGUACACGAGCGGCGAACGGGUGAGUAACACGUGGGUGACCUGCCCUCAGCUCUGGGAUAAGCCUGGGAAACCGGGUCUAAUACUGGAUAUGACUCCAUGACGCAUGUUGGUGGGGUGGAAAGCCUUGUGCGGCUGAGGAUGGGCCCGCGGCCUAUCAGCUUGUUGGUGGGGUGAGGCCUACCAAGGCGACGACGGGUAGCCGGCCUGAGAGGGCGACCGGCCACACGUGGGACUGAGACACGGCCCAGACUCCUACGGGAGGCAGCAGUGGGGAAUCUUGCGCAAUGGGCGAAAGCCUGACGCAGCGACGCCGCGUGAGGGAU